GAAUCUUUGAAUGUCAACACAAAAACAAUGCUCAGAUCUUGAAAGAGAUUAUUAGAGACUCAAGAUCCUGUAUGGAGCAUGAUCUCAAAACCGAGCACUUCAGCCGAAGAGAAAAAGAUAUUUUUAUCAAAUUUAAUUUUGCUAUUAGCUAAAGAUCUUGGGAAUGAUGCCAAAUAAUGUACCCACAGGUAGUUAUAGUCUACAGCAUGUGUAGUCAUAACUAUCACAUUCGUACUCUAUGAGUUACUUGGCUUUGUCUAUGACUUGUAUAGAUAAAGCUAUUUGUAGAAACUUUACACAUAAUCAAUUUACUUUUACUUACCAAAAAAAAAAAAAAACUUUAUUUACAAGAUCAUCUCCAAACUGUUAGCUGAUAGAUUACAAAAGGUAAUACACAAGAUAAUUAGUCCAAAUCAGACUGUUUUCAUCAAAGGGAGAAGUAUACAUCAUAAUAUUCUGCUUGCUAAUGACUUGGUCAAGGAUCUGCACUCAAAA
RNAcentral lists this long non-coding RNA (495 nucleotides) under Musa acuminata (dwarf banana). RNAcentral describes it as "long non-coding RNA (MACU_LNC003428)". Lineage: Eukaryota; Viridiplantae; Streptophyta; Magnoliopsida; Zingiberales; Musaceae. The record is from RNAcentral.